This 422-nucleotide ribosomal RNA is filed under the name Escherichia coli. Its description in RNAcentral is "partial 23S ribosomal RNA". It matches the Rfam family "Bacterial large subunit ribosomal RNA", at positions 2259 to 2680 of the family's 2925-position model. Lineage: Bacteria; Pseudomonadati; Pseudomonadota; Gammaproteobacteria; Enterobacterales; Enterobacteriaceae. The record is from RNAcentral.
UGGUGGGUAGUUUGACUGGGGCGGUCUCCUCCUAAAGAGUAACGGAGGAGCACGAAGGUUGGCUAAUCCUGGUCGGACAUCAGGAGGUUAGUGCAAUGGCAUAAGCCAGCUUGACUGCGAGCGUGACGGCGCGAGCAGGUGCGAAAGCAGGUCAUAGUGAUCCGGUGGUUCUGAAUGGAAGGGCCAUCGCUCAACGGAUAAAAGGUACUCCGGGGAUAACAGGCUGAUACCGCCCAAGAGUUCAUAUCGACGGCGGUGUUUGGCACCUCGAUGUCGGCUCAUCACAUCCUGGGGCUGAAGUAGGUCCCAAGGGUAUGGCUGUUCGCCAUUUAAAGUGGUACGCGAGCUGGGUUUAGAACGUCGUGAGACAGUUCGGUCCCUAUCUGCCGUGGGCGCUGGAGAAUUGAGGGGGGCUGCUCCUA